ACGCGCUGCCUUUGAGCCCCCGGCGCACCUCUGUGGUCCCGGGGGUUAAGCUGCAGCGCCAUAGCAAUUGCUGGCGCAUAACUGGGGCCGCCUGCCCGUCGCGGGCGGCCCUUUUAACCGCCAGCUACACGG
Molecule: small nucleolar RNA, 132 nt
Organism: Meriones unguiculatus (Mongolian gerbil)
Lineage: Eukaryota; Metazoa; Chordata; Mammalia; Rodentia; Muridae
Source: Ensembl